RNAcentral lists this ribosomal RNA (433 nucleotides) under uncultured bacterium. RNAcentral describes it as "partial 16S ribosomal RNA". It matches the Rfam family "Bacterial small subunit ribosomal RNA", at positions 29 to 507 of the family's 1533-position model. The record is from RNAcentral.
AACGAACGCUGGCGGCAUGCCUAACACAUGCAAGUCGAACGAGACCUUUGGGUCUAGUGGCGCACGGGUGCGUAACGCGUGGGAACCUGCCCUUAGGUUCGGAAUAACUCCCCGAAAGGGGUGCUAAUACCGGAUAAUGUCUUCGGACCAAAGAUUUAUCGCCUUUGGAUGGGCCCGCGUUGGAUUAGCUAGUUGGUAGGGUAAAAGCCUACCAAGGCGACGAUCCAUAGCUGGUCUGAGAGGAUGAUCAGCCACACUGGGACUGAGACACGGCCCAGACUCCUACGGGAAGCAGCAGUGGGGAAUAUUGGACAAUGGGCGAAAGCCUGAUCCAGCAAUGCCGCGUGAGUGAUGAAGGCCUUAGGGUUGUAAAGCUCUUUUACCCGGGAUGAUAAUGACAGUACCGGGAGAAUAAGCUCCGGCUAACUCCGUG